CUCCCCCAUAUUAUCUCUUGCUCCUCUUCCCCCUUUCUCGCCACAGCAGAUCGGAAUCGGAGGUCCUCGGUCAUCCGAUCCACCCGCCCCAGCCAGGUCGUACUCCGCCUCCUCCUCGUCGUCAUCUACGGGAUUCUGCUCGCCGCCUCUAUCGCGACCUUCUCCUCCGCGCCGUUCCCCUCCUCACCGACGGGAUCUGAACCGCCGGCCUCACCCGCGAGAACGCCGCCACCUACCUUAGAGAGAACGGCGCCACCGGCCGCAAGGUAAGAACAUCUUAUGCGAAACUUUGUCGUAUUGUCGUACUGGAUACUGUUCAUGUAUUGGUUGCUUGUCCGGAGGAUUCUAGAACGUGAUUACGCAUGUUUGCUCCGUCCAGAUGAUUCAAGCUGAAUAUUAUCCUAGAUGUUGGUUUUUUCUCCAUGAGAUCUGCUAUGUUCCUCUAGAUGCAUCCCAUGCCCGUCCGCUUGAGUACCUACCCUACCCACCAAUUAUUUAUGUUAAUUCAUGAGAUGAAGUGAUGAACUCGAUUCGAUGUGAUGGUCGAUUCUCGUACGUAUUCUCAAUUCCAUGCCUAUACAUUUGAUGCAUGCCUGUCCAGGAUGCUGCAAUCCCUUAGCAUGUGAUGCAUCAUGGAAGUUGCUAGUAAAAUUCCAUGAGAUGGAUUGGGAUUCUUUUCUUUUCAGCCACAUACAAUAUGAUUGCAAGUGCUGAUCAGUGUUGGUUAGUAUAUUUGAUAUGCAAACAUGUGUGUCUUCUAGCCGGACGAUACAUACAAGCAAGAUCGAUUCAUAUGAUGGAUCUUUUUUUGUUGGCUGCUGCUACUAGUACACUAGAUGUCUGUGAUUUAAUUUAUAUGCUGCAGCCAAGCAUCUUAAUUUAUAUGAUAUCUAUAUAUCUUAACACUUGAAGUAUUCUUGUUUUUUUGCCCGUCAUCAUUUUAGAUUCUGACUGUCAUACACAGUCAGCUCGGUGGAUGAUAUCUAGAUUUGUUUUGAACACUGUAUUAUAUAAUUUAUAUUAGCACAUUGUCAUUUGCAGUGAACUGUUAGCACACUGUGCUAAGAAAAUUUUCUUUUCUUUCUGUUAUAGAUCAUCACAGGUUAUUGGGUCAAUGUUAGGCCCCGGGCGGCGGGUUCAUAUGAGCGAAAUAUGAAAUCAAUAGGUACUCUAUUUUCCUUUAACAUUAGUUUCUGUGACUGGUUCAUGUGUGCUGAGCUCCUGUAUGUGAACAUAUAUGCAAACCAUGUGUAUUAGUUUCUAUCACUACUAUGUUAAUGAUGGCAGUUUAGAUAUCCCUGUGUUAGAUAUUUAUCAUAUUUAGAAGAUGAUCAAAUUUUCUUGAUUCAUUUGUAGCUCAUUGUCGGAUUAAUUAUGAUGCUGCUGCUGGAGAUGGACAUGCUGUUAAAUUUUUUCCUGGAGCUUGAAAUCCUUGAAGUGCUUACCAUGUUUUUUUUUUGAAAUGGAAGUGCUUACCAUGUACUCUCUUUUAUAAACUAAAACACCUGUGGCUAGCAAAGGAAUUGGGAGGUUGUCUUUGUGAUCAUCUACUCUUACAAGUAGCAACUGCUGAUAUACAAUUGCAGCCUUGAUCCUUUUAUGUGUCACACCAACCGUUAUUUUUCUGAACUUAGUUUCAUAACAGCUUGUCCUGUACAUGGAUUUUGGCAAGCAAUGCUUUAUUUGUGGAUCCAUUCAGCAGCGAGGUUAUGUUAUCUGUAUCUAGUCUUAUUUAUUUCUGAAAAACCUGCAUUUUGUAGGACACCUAUGAGACUGGUUCAGAAAAACAGUAAGUUAAAGGAUGAGGUACGGUCACUGAAGGUACACUUUUUUUUACUGUUUUUUCUUUGACUGAAGGUACACUCAUCUUGCUAACUAAGUUUUUCACUAUUUGUGUGGAGUACGACUAUGCAUUGUGAAUUUGUGAUGUUCGCUCUAUCUGAAGAAACACCUUAUAUUCGUAUUGCACUAUUCUUUCCCUUGAAUUAGGCAUCGCAAAGUCAGCGCCAAUUUUCAUCUAAAUUAUGGUCUGAAAUCAUGCACGCCAUUAUCAUUGCUUAUUGCUUACUCUAUUUUUGGUUGGAUUCACUACUCAGUGCUCACUCUCUGUUGUUGGUCGAUUCUAUUGUGGUAGAAGCAACGCGGUGCUUAACGAUGGGGUGCUGGGGCGGAAGCAAUUGGAUACUCUGAGCUGGAGCAGAUGGUAUGCCGUGCUCAGCGACCACACGCCGGAGUGCGAGGGAUGAGCCAGAUGCUGGAGCAGAGACGAUGUCGGAUCACGGCCGUGGCGACCGAUCAGCUGGAUCACGGCGCAGACGAUGGACUAGUUUAGCAGAAUUCAAAUUCGUGUAUCAAGGGUAGAAAUGUCCAGCCAUUUCAUUUGCUUGUCCGCUUUACUUUGUUGCAUGAUCCAAAGAACUAGAUGGACUUGACUUUAGAUCACGGGCAGUUUAGUCUUGGCACUUAAUUAGGAUGGCUAAAUUAUAUUUGAGUUUCAUUUGAUGGUUUUUUACUGUGAGAAUUAUGAUUUUUAUGAAUCUACAUAUUAUAUGUAUGGUUUU
This 2561-nucleotide long non-coding RNA is filed under the name Triticum aestivum (bread wheat). Its description in RNAcentral is "long non-coding RNA (TAES_LNC017242)". The record is from RNAcentral. Lineage: Eukaryota; Viridiplantae; Streptophyta; Magnoliopsida; Poales; Poaceae.